UACAUGGUGGCCAUUCCUGCAGUUCUUGAAGCUGGAGCAACAGCCAAGUUGUGUGCAGAUCUCAUGCAGCCCAACGAGGCUCUGACAAUGACCACCAGCUUGGUGUACAAAAAAAGGACAACCCUCUUCAAAUGGGCAUCCAGGAAAGACCUUCAUACCUGUGCUCAAUUUCAGGUUCCUUUAGUGCAGAAUGACGAGGUGUGGAACUUUGAGGUGGAAGUACAAGGCAGCAUGUUUUCUUCAAAAGAAGUCAGAAAGGUUAUGAUCAGAGUCUAUCAACCGAUGACAUUUGUCCAAACA
Monopterus albus (swamp eel) is the source of this 300-nucleotide long non-coding RNA. RefSeq lists it as uncharacterized. The record is from RefSeq and is a predicted model, not a curated record. Lineage: Eukaryota; Metazoa; Chordata; Actinopteri; Synbranchiformes; Synbranchidae. The transcript is spliced from 2 exons.